This 51-nucleotide transfer RNA is filed under the name Pseudomonas weihenstephanensis. It matches the Rfam family "tRNA", at positions 25 to 71 of the family's 71-position model. Rfam says of the family: Transfer RNA (tRNA) molecules are approximately 80 nucleotides in length. Their secondary structure includes four short double-helical elements and three loops (D, anti-codon, and T loops). Further hydrogen bonds mediate the characteristic L-shaped molecular structure. tRNAs have two regions of fundamental functional importance: the anti-codon, which is responsible for specific mRNA codon recognition, and the 3' end, to which the tRNAs corresponding amino acid is attached (by aminoacyl-tRNA synthetases). tRNAs cope with the degeneracy of the genetic code in two manners: having more than one tRNA (with a specific anti-codon) for a particular amino acid; and 'wobble' base-pairing, i.e. permitting non-standard base-pairing at the 3rd anti-codon position. RNAcentral also lists the same sequence under 2 other names. The record is from RNAcentral. Lineage: Bacteria; Pseudomonadati; Pseudomonadota; Gammaproteobacteria; Pseudomonadales; Pseudomonadaceae.
ACCGGCCUGUCACGCCGGGGGUCGCGGGUUCGAGUCCCGUCCGCUGCGCCA